This is a long non-coding RNA of Meriones unguiculatus (Mongolian gerbil), 265 nucleotides long. RefSeq lists it as uncharacterized. NCBI's taxonomy places the organism in Eukaryota, Metazoa, Chordata, Mammalia, Rodentia, Muridae. The transcript has 5 exons. The record is from RefSeq and is a predicted model, not a curated record.
CACCUAACUCCGAGGAAGUCUUGUCAGCUCCGUCAUCUACCAUGACCCCUCGGAGCUCACAGCCUCACACCAACCAGGACAGAAAAAAAUGCUGUCCCUGCAACCCUUGAAGUCAUCGGGACCCAGCUAUCCCGUGAAGGCUAAACUUACCACAACCUAUCUCCGAGGAAGUCUUGUCGGCUCGUCAUCUGCCGUGACCUCUUGCAGUCCACAGCCUCACACCAAUCAGACAUGAGAAAUGGUGUCCCUGAGGCCCUUGGCAUUG